RNAcentral lists this long non-coding RNA (584 nucleotides) under Phascolarctos cinereus (koala). RNAcentral's name for it is "lncRNA (ENSPCIG00000034805.1)". Lineage: Eukaryota; Metazoa; Chordata; Mammalia; Diprotodontia; Phascolarctidae. The record is from RNAcentral.
AAGAAGAUGGAACGUUAUUGGUCAGCUUCUCUCAAUUUCACCAAGCCAUAAUUAGAAUGGCCAUGUCUUUAUGGCUGAUGAGGAUAAAGCCCAAAGAGGAAAGAUCAUGUCAAGACUCUUCAAGUCUACUCCUGAAGGUGUGAGGAAAACUCAUCAAAAUGAUCCGACUAAGGUCCAGAGGAGUUUCCUAGGAGCCUAGAUUUGGAGCUAGAAGAGGACCUCAGUGAUCAUUGAGUCUACAGAUGAGGAAACCGAGGCCCAGAGGUCAAGGACUUGCGCAGGGACACACAGCUGGUCUGUGGUGGGAUUUGAAUUUAGGGCUUCCUGACUCCAAACAAGCCUUGUAGCCACAUUGCCUCUCAGUUUUGAUUUUCAUGGGCGGAUGGGUCCUUGCCCUGACAGAAUCAUGGGUCACUGAGUAGUGAAAAUAUUUUAGUUUUAGGGUUUUGUUUUGGUUUUUUUGGCUAGGCAAUGGGGUUAAGUGACUUGCCCUGAGUCACACAGCUAGUAUUAAGUGUCUGAGGCUGGAUUUGAACUCAGGUCGCCCUGACUCCAAGGCCAGAGCUCUAUUCACUGCACUGCCU